This 86-nucleotide non-coding RNA is filed under the name unclassified sequences. Its description in RNAcentral is "eL15-Euryarchaeota ribosomal protein leader". It matches the Rfam family "eL15-Euryarchaeota ribosomal protein leader". The record is from RNAcentral.
CCUGCACGGCUAGACCGCAGGUCGGGAUGUGAUCCGCGAGUACGGUACUCGAGUGAGGGACCGCCCCGAGGCGAUUGAACCAAGAA